ACUCAAAGGAAUUGACGGGGGCCCGCACAAGCGGUGGAACAUGUGGUUUAAUUCGACACUACGCGAGGAACCUUACCUAGGCUUGACAUGCAUUUGACCUCUGUAGAAAUAUGGCUUUUCUGGCUUCGGUCAGGACAAAUGCACAGGUGCUGCAUGGCUGUCGUCAGCUCGUGUCGUGAGAUGUUGGGUUAAGUCCUCUAACGAGCGCAACUCCUGUCAUCAGUUGCUAUCCUUUUGGAGCACUCUGAUGAGACUGCCUGGGAAACCAGGAGGAAGGUGGGAAUGACGUCAAGUCCUCAUGGCCCUUAUGCCUAGGGCUACACACGUGUUACAAUGGUCAGUACAAAGGGUUGCUAGCCUGCAAAGGUAUGCCAAUCUCAAAAAGCUGAUCUAAGUUCAGAUUGGGGUCUGCAACUCGACCCCAUGAAGUUGAAAUCGCUAGUAAUCGCGUAUCAGCAACGACGCGGUGAAUACGUUCUCGGGCCUUGUACACACCGCCCGU
Molecule: ribosomal RNA, 502 nt
Filed under: uncultured bacterium
Lineage: Bacteria
Description: partial 16S ribosomal RNA
Rfam family: Bacterial small subunit ribosomal RNA
Source: RNAcentral